This 55-nucleotide transfer RNA is filed under the name Aspidoscelis laredoensis. RNAcentral's name for it is "tRNA-Cys". Lineage: Eukaryota; Metazoa; Chordata; Lepidosauria; Squamata; Teiidae. The record is from RNAcentral.
AGUCCUGCACGAUGAACUGCAAAUUCAAACACGCACCCAAAAAGGUGCCGGGGCU